RNAcentral lists this ribosomal RNA (406 nucleotides) under uncultured bacterium. RNAcentral's name for it is "partial 16S ribosomal RNA". It matches the Rfam family "Bacterial small subunit ribosomal RNA", at positions 30 to 526 of the family's 1533-position model. The record is from RNAcentral.
AUUGAACGCUGGCGGCAGGCCUAACACAUGCAAUUCGAACGAGUGGCGGACGGGUGUGAAAUGUCUGGGAAACUGCACGACGGAGGGGGAUCACUACUGGAAACAGUCGCUAAUAACGCAUACCCGCGUCUGUGCCCAGAUGGGCUUAGCUAUUAGGUGGGGUAAGGGCUCACCUAGGCGACGAUCCCUAGCUGGUCGGAGAGGAUGACCAGCCACCCUGGAACUGAGACACGGUCCAGACUCCUACGGUAGGCAGCAGUGGGGAAUAUUGCACAAUGGGCGCAAGCCUGAUGCAGCCAUGCCGCGUGUAUGAAGAAGGCCUUCGGGUUGUAAAGUACUUUCAGCGAGGAGGCGUUACUCGCAGAAGAAGCACCGGCUAACUCCGUGCCAGCCGCCGCGGUAAUUC